UGGGGAAUAUUGGGGCAAUGGGGCGAAAGCCUGACCCAGCAACGCCGCGUGAAGGAAGAAGGUUUUCGGAUUGUAAACUUCUUUUAUCAGGGACGAAGAAAGUGACGGUACCUGAUGAAUAAGCCACGGCUAACUACGUGCCAGCAGCCGCGGUAAUACGUAGGGGGCAAGCGUUAUCCGGAAUUACUGGGUGUAAAGGGAGCGCAGGCGGGGGGAGCAAGUCAGCUGUGAAAUCUAUGGGCUUAACCCAUAAACUGCAGUUGAAACUGUUCUUCUUGAGUGAAGUAGAGGUUGGCGGAAUUCCGAGUGUAGCGGUGAAAUGCGUAGAUAUUCGGAGGAACACCGGUGGCGAAGGCGGCCAACUGGGCUUUUACUGACGCUGAGGCUCGAAAGUGUGGGGAGCAAACAGGAUUAGAUACCCUGGUAGU
Molecule: ribosomal RNA, 428 nt
Filed under: uncultured Eubacterium sp.
Lineage: Bacteria; Bacillati; Bacillota; Clostridia; Eubacteriales; Eubacteriaceae
Description: bacterial SSU rRNA
Rfam family: Bacterial small subunit ribosomal RNA
Source: RNAcentral